CAGCACCUCAAGUUGUCAGGAUGAUUAUUGGGCCUAAAGCAUCCGUAGCCGGCUCUGUUAGUUUUCGGUUAAAUCUGUACGCUUAACGUACAGGCUGCCGGGAAUACUGCAGCGCUAGGGAGUGGGAGAGGUAGACGGUACUCGGUAGGAAGGGGUAAAAUCCUUUGAUCUAUUGAUGACCACCUGUGGCGAAGGCGGUCUACCAGAACACGUCCGACGGUGAGGGAUGAAAGCUGGGGGAGCAAACCGGAUUAGAUACCCGAGUAGUCC
Molecule: ribosomal RNA, 270 nt
Filed under: uncultured archaeon
Lineage: Archaea
Description: partial 16S ribosomal RNA
Rfam family: Archaeal small subunit ribosomal RNA
Source: RNAcentral